Molecule: ribosomal RNA, 440 nt
Filed under: uncultured bacterium
Lineage: Bacteria
Description: partial 16S ribosomal RNA
Rfam family: Bacterial small subunit ribosomal RNA
Source: RNAcentral
CCUACGGGUGGCAGCAGUGAGGAAUAUUGCACAAUGGGCGAAACCCUGAUGCAGCAAAGCCGCGUGAGUGAAGAAGGCUCUCGGUGUGUAAAGCUCUAUCAGCAAGGGAGAAAAUGACGGUACCUGAGUAAGAAGCCCCGGCUAACUAGUUGCCAGCAGCAGCGGUAAUACGGAGGGAGCAGGCGUUAUCCGGAUUUACUGGGUGUAAAGGGGGCGUAGACGGUGAGACAAGUCUGACGUGAAAGUCCGGGGCUCAACCGCGGGACUGCAAUGGAAACUGCCUGACUGGAGUGCUGGCGAGGCAAGCGGAAUUCGUGGUGUAGCGGUGAAAUGCGGAGAUAUCAGGAAGAACCCCAGUGGCGAAGGCGGCUUGCUGGACAGUAACUGACGUUGAGGCUCGAAAGUGUGGGGAUCAAACAGGAUUAGAUACCCUAGUAGUC